RNAcentral lists this ribosomal RNA (759 nucleotides) under uncultured Aggregatibacter sp. RNAcentral's name for it is "bacterial SSU rRNA". It matches the Rfam family "Bacterial small subunit ribosomal RNA", at positions 28 to 776 of the family's 1533-position model. Lineage: Bacteria; Pseudomonadati; Pseudomonadota; Gammaproteobacteria; Pasteurellales; Pasteurellaceae. The record is from RNAcentral.
AUUGAACGCUGGCGGCAGGCUUAACACAUGCAAGUCGAACGGUAGCAGGUAAGUACUUGUACUUAUGCUGACGAGUGGCGGACGGGUGAGUAAUGCUUGGGGAUCUGGCUUAUGGAGGGGGAUAACGACGGGAAACUGUCGCUAAUACCGCGUAGAAUCGGGAGAUGAAAGUGUGGGACCUUCGGGCCACAUGCCAUAGGAUGAGCCCAAGUGGGAUUAGGUAGUUGGUGGGGUAAUGGCCUACCAAGCCGACGAUCUCUAGCUGGUCUGAGAGGAUGACCAGCCACACCGGGACUGAGACACGGCCCGGACUCCUACGGGAGGCAGCAGUGGGGAAUAUUGCGCAAUGGGGGCAACCCUGACGCAGCCAUGCCGCGUGAAUGAAGAAGGCCUUCGGGUUGUAAAGUUCUUUCGGUGACGAGGAAGGUUGUUGUGUUAAUAGCGCAACAAAUUGACGUUAAUCACAGAAGAAGCACCGGCUAACUCCGUGCCAGCAGCCGCGGUAAUACGGAGGGUGCGAGCGUUAAUCGGAAUAACUGGGCGUAAAGGGCACGCAGGCGGACUUUUAAGUGAGGUGUGAAAUCCCCGGGCUUAACCUGGGAAUUGCAUUUCAGACUGGGGGUCUAGAGUACUUUAGGGAGGGGUAGAAUUCCACGUGUAGCGGUGAAAUGCGUAGAGAUGUGGAGGAAUACCGAAGGCGAAGGCAGCCCCUUGGGAAUGUACUGACGCUCAUGUGCGAAAGCGUGGGGAGCAAACAGG